AGCCCAACUCCAAAUCCGGUGACCCCUCUCUUCUCUCUAAACCCCCAAAUUCAUCACCCUAAAUCUCAUCCAAAAUUGAGAACUCUCGACUUCCUUCAUCUUCUCCGAUUCAAAAUCGAACCUCUACCAUCUUCUCCGUUUCGAAGUCGGAGCUCCAUCUCCACCGAUUUACUUUGGCGCCUCAAUCGUCCGGUCACAGUGGUCUCGCUCACUCCCAUCGUCUCCGGCCGCUUGACGAGCAGGGCCGUCGCCCGCUGUGUCGCUCAGCGCCGGCUCUCCGCGCUGUAGCUCCGUCCGCGGCAGCACUCUCCUUUCGAUCCUUCCGUCAGACGGUACGGCGGCACUGGAGUCGCCUCUGCCGCUGACGGCCUCCGCCACCACUCGCAAACGGGCAGCUCCGUCCGCACAUCGUCGGUCAGCCGUCACAUAAGCUAAGCUCUCUAUCCCUUCCCCUUUUUUUCCACUUUAUAAAAUUAGUUUUGGGUUCGGGCAGUGGCUAUGUUGGAUGCCCUUGAUUGUAGUAUCUAAAAUCGUGAUCUUUGGAGAAAACUUUCUAUUUCACUGCAUUGAAUCCUUUGUUUGCGUUCCAUUCUUAAGUUGUGAGUUUUUCUUAUUAUUUGUGAAACUUAGCAGAUGCUUGCUCUUGACGAUUGCUGUGAGAGUCCUAUUGAAAUCUAAGUUCUUGGCUAGUUGAUGAGGUUGAUCUUACAUGAUGCAAGGUAGCACAUAGAGAGGAGGCAAGACUGUUGGGAGUAGGAGCUGCUGCAGCAUUUAAACUUGUUUCUGCCAUCCUGCUGCCGAGACCUGGGCCGACAGCUGCUUCGGGCCCGGCCCGUGAAGGGUGCGAUUUGGGCCUGGGGAGAAGGUCCAAAAGUGCAAGCUACAUAGCAAUAUAAUUUCUUAAGCUCUUGGCCCAUACUUGUGUAUUUUGUAAUAGCAUCCAUAAUUCCUUUUUCUUAAACUCAUAAACCCACAUGUAAUUAUGUAAGCUAAAGCGUAGUUUGGGAUGUAGUCGAACAUUCUAGUUCGGGAAUGAACUCUUCGUAUUCUUCCUCGGCGUUUGUUAUGUUUCAUAAAUAUAGGUAAUUGUUUUAGUUCAA
Long non-coding RNA from Salvia splendens (bonfire salvia), 1100 nucleotides. RefSeq lists it as uncharacterized. The record is from RefSeq and is a predicted model, not a curated record. The transcript has 3 exons. NCBI's taxonomy places the organism in Eukaryota, Viridiplantae, Streptophyta, Magnoliopsida, Lamiales, Lamiaceae.